This 292-nucleotide transfer-messenger RNA is filed under the name Staphylococcus aureus. RNAcentral's name for it is "partial transfer-messenger RNA". It matches the Rfam family "transfer-messenger RNA", at positions 87 to 350 of the family's 374-position model. Rfam says of the family: Bacterial tmRNA, also known as 10Sa RNA or SsrA, is named for its dual tRNA and mRNA-like properties. Its role is to liberate the mRNA from a stalled ribosome. To accomplish this part of the tmRNA is used as a reading frame that ends in a translation stop signal. Lineage: Bacteria; Bacillati; Bacillota; Bacilli; Caryophanales; Staphylococcaceae. The record is from RNAcentral.
AAGUAGAUGCGAACAACAUCGUACCUUUUGCUCGUAAAGCAGCUGCUGUUGCCUAAAAACCUCUAACAGGUUCGAGCGUCUGUGGUUCGACUCCGUUAAGGAUUACAGACAAACCCCCAACGGAUGCUUUAGCAGGUUACCUCUGGUUGGCUUGCUAGAUAAGACUUUACCAGAGCAUCCCACCAUCCGGGAUAAUGGAUGGUCCCUGCCUCUGGGGUUACAGAGGAUAAGCCUGUGAAUGAGCGGAAAGUUAAUACCCAUUGCGGACAGCGGUUCGAUUCCGCUCAGCUCC